GUUUAAAUCAAACAAAUCUUACUUUUUGUUUCUCUUUUUUUUCACCUUCUCUGUACUUCAGGCUACCUCCAGUUUAUCUCCAGCAGCACUUAGAAGCAGCUGCCAAGCUGUCUUAGCCAACCUAAUAUCUACAACCCUUAUAUGCACUCCUGAAGGAUGUAACACCUGCUUGGGCCUGUGCUUAUUUGCAAAAAAAUAGCAAACACCUAACUAACUAAUUCAAAUGCCUUGCCAAUUAUCAACAGGAAAGCAAACCUUGUUAAAUCUAAAACCUUUUUCUUAGAUGACUCUUAUUGGGCAGACUAGAUGGGCCGAAUGGUUCUUAUCUGCCGUCACAUUCUAUGUUUCUCUUGCCUGUAAAGGUAAAAAGAAAAACCUUAGACAGUUGAAGAAUCAAAUAAAACUCUCCAGAAUAUCUCCAAAUACACUUUGUAGCAGCACUUCGAUGCAGCUGCCAAGCUCUUGAUGGAGAGCACUCAC
This is a non-coding RNA of Pelobates cultripes (western spadefoot toad), 480 nucleotides long. The record is from the annotation of a GenBank genome assembly. Lineage: Eukaryota; Metazoa; Chordata; Amphibia; Anura; Pelobatidae.